GCUUCUUAGAGAGACAAGCAGCGCUUAGCUGCACGAAAGUGAGCAAUAACAGGUCUGUGAUGCCCUUAGAUGUCCGGGGCUGCACGCGCGCUACACUGAAAGGAUCAGCGUGCAAGAAACCUUGCCUGAAAAGGUUGGGUAACCCAUUCAAAACCUUUCGUGAUUGGGAUAGGAGAUUGCAAUUAUUCUCCUUGAACGAGGAAUUCCCAGUAAGUGUGGGUCAUCAGCUCGCGCUGAUUACGUCCCUGCCCUUUGUACUGAGCG
RNAcentral lists this ribosomal RNA (264 nucleotides) under Linhomoeidae sp. ELE044. RNAcentral describes it as "partial small subunit ribosomal RNA". It matches the Rfam family "Eukaryotic small subunit ribosomal RNA", at positions 1406 to 1665 of the family's 1831-position model. The record is from RNAcentral. Lineage: Eukaryota; Metazoa; Nematoda; Chromadorea; Monhysterida; Linhomoeidae.